GAUGAACGCUGGCGGCGUGCCUAAUACAUGCAAGUAGAACGCUGAAGGAGGAGCUUGCUCUUCUGGAUGAGUUGCGAACGGGUGAGUAACGCGUAGGUAACCUGCCUGGUAGCGGGGGAUAACUAUUGGAAACGAUAGCUAAUACCGCAUGACAACAGUUAUUGCAUGAUAACUGUUUAAAAGGGGCAACUGCUCCACUACCAGAUGGACCUGCGUUGUAUUAGCUAGUUGGUGAGGUAACGGCUCACCAAGGCGACGAUACAUAGCCGACCUGAGAGGGUGAUCGGCCACACUGGGACUGAGACACGGCCCAGACUCCUACGGGAGGCAGAAGUAGGGAAUCUUCGGCAAUGGACGGAAGUCUGACCGAGCAACGCCGCGUGAGUGAAGAAGGUUUUCGGAUCGUAAAGAUCUGUUGUAAGAGAAGAACGAGUGUGAGAGUGGAAAGUUCACACUGUGACGGUAUCUUACCAGAAAGGGACGGCUAACUACGUG
This 495-nucleotide ribosomal RNA is filed under the name uncultured bacterium. Its description in RNAcentral is "partial 16S ribosomal RNA". It matches the Rfam family "Bacterial small subunit ribosomal RNA", at positions 28 to 507 of the family's 1533-position model. The record is from RNAcentral.